Molecule: ribosomal RNA, 447 nt
Filed under: uncultured bacterium
Lineage: Bacteria
Description: bacterial SSU rRNA
Rfam family: Bacterial small subunit ribosomal RNA
Source: RNAcentral
CCAGACUCCUACGGGAGGCAGCAGUGGGGGAUAUUGCACAAUGGGGGGAACCCUGAUGCAGCGACGCCGCGUGGGUGAAGAAGUAUUUCGGUAUGUAAAGCCCUAUCGGCAGGGAAGAAUUUAGACGGUACCUGACUAAGAAGCCCCGGCUAACUACGUGCCAGCAGCCGCGGUAAUACGUAGGGGGCAAGCGUUAUCCGGAUUCACUGGGUGUAAAGGGAGCGUAGACGGCCAUGCAAGCCUGGAGUGAAAGCCCGGGGCCCAACCCCGGGACUGCUCUGGGAACUGUGCGGCUGGAGUGCGGGAGGGGCAGGCGGAAUUCCUGGUGUAGCGGUGAAAUGCUUAGAUAUCAUGAAGAACUCCGAUCGCGAAGGCAAGUGUCCGGGGUGCAACUGACGCUGAGGCUCGAAAGUGCGGGUAUCAAACAGGAUUAGAUACCCGUGUAGC